CACAUGCCUUGCCUGGUAUCAUUUUUUUUCAGCACAACCUCACCUGUGCGAAUUUACAGUUAUUUUAUCAUGUUGACAUACUGAAUUUACACAAUGGACCCAAAUUCACACACAAAACAUAAAAUCCGAGUGGAAAAAAGUAACAUUUUUACUGUGAAAACCACAAAUAUGUGUGAUGAACUGUUUUUAAAACUUAAACUUCAAAUAAAAAUUGUAAACUUCAAAACAUAUGCAAAUUUUUAAUGAAGAACAUAGUGAUUUACCUCUAUUUACAUCAAAAUGCAGGCAAUGGCCCAGGCGUUCUUUGUAAAAUUAUUUACAAAACACUGUAUAGUCUCACAAAUGUCACUUUUUAUUUAUGCCACUACAAAAAAACAUGAUGUAAAUGAUGCAUGAUGUAAAACAUGAUGUAAAAAACUUGUGUAGAUCCUCCUCUAUGUCAGUCCAUGUGUAAUUUUUCCAUAAUUCUUUGUUUUUUGCAGCAUUUUUGUUAGUGUAACUGCAGAUUGUGCUGACAGUGUCUAUGGCACACAAAAAAAAAAAAAUUAAAAUGCCUCAACAUGAACCCCUGGUGGUCUCUGAGGGUGAAACCUGCUAACUGCUGCAGCUCUGUCAGCUUCAGUCUCCCAUGCAGAGCUCUGAGCGCAUGUGUGGCUCUGCACCCUUAGCAGCGUUGCUAACUCCUCAGUAAGGAAAGCCUGCUUCAUGUCAGAGUCUCUAAACUCCAGAAGAAGUCGAUAAAAGUCCCUUUCUUUCUAAAAAAAAGUCGUUAGGGGGUCUGAAAAGUCAUUGAAUCUAACAACAAAGUCGCUAGGUUUGCAACUACGUGUCCCAGACUGCAUCCCUGCUGAGAGUCCCUCCCUCGCUUCUCAUGUUGCAGGAAGAACGUAAGCACCCGCCCCUUGUCAAUCAGUCACCAUAUAAUUUUGGAUUGGUUGUUGUGGUGAAGUUUUCCACCAAUAGGAGAGAUGUUGUGGUGUGUUUUUUUUUUUCUUUUGGCAAGCCUUUUCCGCCUGUAAGACCUGUCGCUAAUGUCUGCAUGCUAUGUUUUCCUGUCUCAUACAGCGCGAUCGAGCGCCGAACGUGAUCAAAAUAAGCAGAAAACAAGUAUCGCGGACAUAAUUUAUCAUAACUCUGGUUUUAUUUGGCCUAUCAACACAAUUUAAAAACUGGUAUAUAGGUUGAGGUCCUCACUUUUGAGAUAAGUUGAAACGGAGAGUCAACGAGGCUCCGUCUUGCAGCUACAUCCGGUUAAAUAUGUCAUGUGACUUGAACGCACACACAGACACACACACACGCACACACACACACACACAGACACACACACACACUCAGAGUCUGGUUUUUAGCACCUGCAAAAACAUGCUAUUUACAUAUUUGACAAGAAUGCAGAGGCUCCUUUUGCCCCUGAAAAAAAUCAAAUUUCAAACACAACUUGACUGGUCAUUUCUCCAAAAGACAACCAUGAAGCUCCAUCCAAACCUGAAGCAGGCAGUUGGUGCAUGUGUACAGUAACCUGAGGGGAGUGAGGUGAGUGCUUCUGAGGAGAACAUGAGCAGUGAAGAUUCACCUUGGAGCUAGAACAGAGACAUGCACAUGAUUAUACAGGGGCAGGGGCUCAAGUUUUUUCCAGUCGUUUAUACAAUAUGGAAAUUAAUGUGAAAUUAAAACACAAAGUAUUAAUAGAAAGGUAAUGACUGUCCUGUGUAGGUGACAGUGAUAUCCAAUAGGCUAGGCACUCACGAGGCUGGCUGUGGCAAGUGUAAGUGAAAGCAACACGCACUGGCAAGAAGAACAGCAAACGCCGAUGAAGGAAAAGGGUCUUUGCAGUGAUGGGCGUUACCAGAGAGGGCGAUGGCCAGAGGACACAAAUGGGACGGGGAGGCAGCACGUUGGGGGGGGGACGCGACAUGGCUCGGGCCCGCCAGUGCCCCAACGGGGUCCUAGUUAUUAUUUUUCUGCCCCUUUGAACUGGAAAAUGGCCCACUUCCCACUGGUGAAAAGUCAUGAAAUUUGGCAGGACGACCGGGCCUGGUGAAAAAUUCGAUAUUCUGAAGUCGCCCAAAAAAUCAAAUGCAAAAUGGCUCCAUAGCGCCCCCUAAGGUGAAAAAUUCACAUGAUUGAGUGUCACGCCUGUACGCUUUGUCAAAAUGACACAAAAUUUGACACACACGUGUAUCUCAAUAAGAUCUACAAAAAAGUCAGUGCGGGCGUAUCUGUCAAAUGUACGGUUAAAGGGCUAUUUCGCAUUUUUUGCCGAUCCGCACACAUUGGAAUUUCGCUAACUCCUCCGAAGGCUUUCGUUCCACCGGCACC
This is a non-coding RNA of Xyrichtys novacula (pearly razorfish), 2316 nucleotides long. Lineage: Eukaryota; Metazoa; Chordata; Actinopteri; Labriformes; Labridae. The record is from the annotation of a GenBank genome assembly.